This 1279-nucleotide long non-coding RNA is filed under the name Marmota monax (woodchuck). The record is from RNAcentral. Lineage: Eukaryota; Metazoa; Chordata; Mammalia; Rodentia; Sciuridae.
ACAGAUGGUUCAUCAUAUUUCAUUAACUGUAAUUUUAAGGUUCAGUAUACAGAGGUAUUGGUAGAGCAGCACCAUCUUGGAGAGCUUUCUGGGAUGAUGAAAAUGAUUUAUAAAGCUACACCACCUAGUUUGUUAGCUUCUAGUCACUUGAAGCCACUAAGCACCUUAAAUGCAGCUAGUAUGACAUAGGAACUGAAUAUCUAAUUGAUACAGCUGCUAAUGUUUUGGACAGCUCUAUUACAGAGGAUUUGCUUAUUUUUAAAUAACUAUUUAACAGGUAAACAUUUAAGCUAAGAUACUCUACCUCUAAAAGAAAGAUCUUGAUUCAUCUUCUAGGGUUCAACACUAAUAUUUCCCCUUCACAGACCAUAUGGUGCUUGCUGAGUGAUAUUUUUGACUUCUGCAAGGCCAACAUUUGUCCCUUCUCUGAGCUGUUCACGAAGUUCGUGUCUCUUUUUCAGGAACACAGUGGGGAGUUUGGGAGUAAUGAUUAUGAGCAAUUUUUUACAAAUGGACAUGAGCCCUUGUUGUAUAAACAAAGUGAAAGUGCUGUAAGUUGAAUUAAUAGUUUAAUCAGACUGUGAGGGGCAGGGACAGUAUUUGUCUUGCUGGUCAUUGAGUCUCCAGUGCCUAGUGUAGUGUUUGGCACAUAGGAAUGCUCAUAAAUAUGUGUUGAAUCAAAUCAUUAUUUGAUCAAGUAAUUUAAUCCCUGCAGUUUAGCUUCAGAGGGUAUAUUGUAUAGUUGGUGGUAUGGCAGGUUCCCUGGAAGUAUUGUUUUCUUUUUAGAGUUGAAGAAAAGGCUGAAGGCCAGUAACUACACUGACUCCCCAUUUUUUGGAGAAGUGUGACCUCUCCAGGGGCACUGUCAACUCAGUGACUUUGAUUUCUUUCCUGUAAGAUACAUAGCACAAGUUAUUACCCUCAUUUGAUGACAGAUUGAAAAAUAGUCACAAGAAGAUCUGGUGCUCAGGUCAUACAGAGUGUUGGAAGUAUAAAUCAAAUUGAAGUCAUCAUUUCUAUUUGUGCACUAGGCCAUGAUACUUCUUCAGGAAAAAUAAAAUCACAUACCGAACUACGUUAGUUAGAAAUUUUGAUUUGUAAAAUCAAAGGUAAUUAUAUAUUUCAAUGGAGUCUAAAAGAGGACUGAAAAUAUUAGCUCUAGAAUGGCAUGACAUUGGGAAAACAGCUUUAGUAUGAGGAACAGGAAUGGAAACGUUUAUUUCUUAAACCUUCAAAUCGCAGUCUGAGGUGGUCCUAACACCCAAGUCAUAGAUUUCCC